UGGGGAAUAUUGGACAAUGGGCGAAAGCCUGAUCCAGCCAUGCCGCGUGAGUGACGAAGGCCUUAGGGUUGUAAAGCUCUUUCGGCAGGAACGAAACGGUUUGGGCUAAUACCCCAGACUACUGACGGUACCUGAAGAAGAAGCACCGGCUAACUACGUGCCAGCAGCCGCGGUAAUACGUAGGGUGCGAGCGUUAAUCGGAUUUACUGGGCGUAAAGCAUGCGCAGGCGGCGGUUCAAGUCAGGUGUGAAAUCCCCGAGCUUAACUUGGGAAUUGCGCUUGAAACUAGAUCGCUAGAGUACGGCAGAGGGGGGUAGAAUUCCACGUGUAGCAGUGAAAUGCGUAGAGAUGUGGAGGAACACCGAUGGCGAAGGCAGCCCCCUGGGCCUGUACUGACGCUCAUGCAUGAAAGCGUGGGGAGCAAACAGGAUUAGAUACCCGAGUAGUCCCUGAGCGGGCUGGCAAGGCGCAU
RNAcentral lists this ribosomal RNA (472 nucleotides) under uncultured bacterium. RNAcentral describes it as "bacterial SSU rRNA". It matches the Rfam family "Bacterial small subunit ribosomal RNA", at positions 355 to 825 of the family's 1533-position model. The record is from RNAcentral.